UUUCUGUUUUGUUAAUGAUCAUAGGCAGGCAAUAGGUCAGCUCUUGGUCACAUAGGAGUAUGGCAAUAGGCCACUCUAGUACAGUAGUUGGUAGAACCAUACAUCAGCCAUACUUGGUAGGAGGAUGAUGUAUGCAGUGUACUAGGAGUAGUUGGGGCUGUACCCAGCCAUGCCUUGUGUACCUUAUAGUUGGUACAAGGCUUGUAUAUAUACACCAUGUAUGCAAUGAAGCAAAGGCAGUUUUAGUGCCACAUAUUUCCUGGGUUCAGGUUUCAGCCAAGACUGAAACCGUGUGUGAGUGUGUGUGCCUGAGCUCGGCUCAUCUUCUACCUUGGGUCAGGGGAGAGGAAGAGGGAAGGUGAGCAGGGUCUGCUUACCUGGUGCCUGUGUGCAGGUGCCAACAAUUGGUAUCGGAGCCGUACAAGCCGUGUGCUAGGUCCAUCGACCGGCGAUGGCGGACGGUGCGGCUCGGAACGGUGGAGGGGAGGGCGCGGAGCGUCAGCUCCAGCCGGCGCCACCGCAGGUGGAGGUGCGCGUGGUGAAGGAGUUCGGCGGCAGCAGCUCCUGGCCCAUGCUCACCCGCACCAACUACGGUGAGUGGGCGACGCAGAUGAAGUGGAAGCUGCGCGCGCGGAAGUGGUGGUGGGCGAUUGAGGAAGAUGAUCGCACCGAGGACGCCCAGGUGGGAGUCAUGGAGGCGCUCAUGGCCUCGACGCCGGCGGAGUACCACGAGGCGCUGGGCGCCAAGGACACCGCGAAGCAGGCCUGGGAGAUGCUGGAGUCGCUGCGUGUCGGCUCGGACCGAGCCAAGCGGGCCAGGAUCCAGCAGCUCCGCAGGGAGCUCAACGACAUCAAGUUCAAGCCCGGAGAGUCGGUGGAGGAGUACACUCUCCGUCUUCAAUCUCUGGCCACGCAACUGGCCACCUACGGGAAGAAGGUGGACGACGAGGACCUCGUCACCAAGCUGCUGUGCACCGUCCCGGCCAAGUAUUCGCAGCUUGCCAUGUCCAUUGAGAUGAUGUUGGACAUCUCCACAUUGUCUCUGGAGGACGUGGCUGGGCGGCUGCGAGUUGCAGAGAGCCGCAUCACGCCGGCACCGGAGAAGGAGAAGGCCAAGCUACUCCUGACGGAAGAGGAGUGGACCGCGCGCAUGAAGGACAAGCGCCGGACCGGGGAAGCCUCCUCCAGCCGCGGCGGUGAUGGCGCCAAGGGGCGCGGGAAGCCGCCGGCGGACAAGAAGAAGAAGAAGAAGAACACCGACCCCAACGCCUGCAGGCGCUGCGGGAAGGUGGGGCACUGGGCACGAGAAUGCCCAGAGAAGAAGCCGGAGAAGAAGGAAGAGGCCCACCUAGCUCGGGACGACAGCGACGACGAGUGCGCUCUGUUGAUGGGGGAGUAUUGCGCGCUGCAGGAAGGCGAAGCAGGGGAGGCGGAGGCGGAGCAGGGGACUGCGCCGCAGGCCGUCGAACUUGACAAGUCUCGCGCGCGCGUCCUCCUUGGAGCGGACGGUGAAGAGCUGGAGCAGAGGUGGUACCUCGACUCAGGUGCGAGCAACCACAUGACAGGGAGCCGCACCGCCUUCUCCAACCUCGACGAGUCAGCCACCGGAAGCGUGAAGUUCGGGGAUGGCUCAAAGGUGCAGAUUCGCGGCCGCGGCACCGUCCUCUUCCGGUGCCGGAACGGCGAGCACCGUGCCUUGACGGAUGUCUACUACAUCCCUCAGCUGCGCACCAGCAUCGUCAGCCUGGGACAGUUGGACGAACGCGGCAGCGAGGUCCUGAUUCGCGACGGGGUGUUGCGGAUCAGGGACAGGGAGCGGCGUCUUCUCGCCAAGGUAUCGCGCUCCCGUAACCGACUCUAUCUUCUGGAUUUGAAGGUAGAGCAGCCCGUAUGUUUGGCGGCGUCGUGCAAGGAGGAGCCCUGGCUGUGGCAUGGCCGGUUCGGCCACCUUAGUUUCGACGCGCUGGGCCGUCUUGGGAAGAUGGUGACAGGGCUGCCGGCGAUCCAGCAUGUCAGCGAGCUGUGCGACAGUUGCCUGGCAGGGAAGCAGAGGAGGCUGCCGUUCCCGAAGACCGCUAGGUACCGCGCGGCGGAUCCGCUUGAGCUGGUCCAUGGGGACCUUUGCGGGCCGAUCACGCUGGCGACGCACGGCGGGAGGAGGUACUUCCUCUUGCUCGUGGAUGACUGCAGCCGGUACAUGUGGCUGCAGCUCCUGACGAGCAAGAGCGACGCGGCGGAGGCGAUCAAGCACUUCAAGGCGCGCACGGAGAUGGAGUCCGGGAAGAAGCUGAAGGUGCUUCGGACUGACCGCGGCGGUGAGUUCACGGCGGCUGAAUUCACCACGUACUGCGCCGAGGAAGGAGUAGGGCGUCAUCUCACAGCCCCCUACUCACCGCAGCAGAACGGUGUGGUAGAGCGCCGGAACCAGACCAUCAUCGGCAUGGCGCGGUCUAUGCUGAAGGCGAAGGACAUGCCGGCUGAGUUCUGGGGAGAAGCCGUGAGCACAGCAGUGUUCAUCCUGAACCGUUGCCCCACCAAAGCGUUGAAGGGGCAGACUCCAUUCGAGGCUUGGCACGGACGCAAGCCGAACGUCGCGUUCCUACGCACGUUUGGUUGUGUCGGCCAUGUGAAGACCACCAAGCCGGGCCUCACAAAGCUGGAAGACAGGAGCACCAAGGCGGUGUUCCUCGGCUACGAGGAGGGAUCAAAGGCCUAUCGGCUCUACGAUCCGGUCGGCGGAAAGGUGCUGGUGUCACGAGAUGUGGUGUUCGACGAGGCGGCGGCGUGGAAAUGGGACCAGGCGGAAGAGCAAGGAGGUGGUGGGCUUGGCGACACUUUUGUCGUGGAACACAUGACGAUCCACGGCAGGGAAGAAGGGUCAGAAGGGCCAGCAACCGGGGAAGCCGGUGCCACUGCAGCUCCAGAGGUGGAGGAGCCACCAAGUCCAGCGACAGCUGGAACGCCAGUCCACUCCCCGGCGGCUGGGGUGGGAUCCCCUGCCUCGCCGGGGCUGGCAACGCCAGCGGCCGGAGACGUCGAAUUCGCCACACCACCAAGUGACUACACCGAGUUCGUGGAUGCUUACCACGACGGCGAGGAGGUCCGUUUUCGCCGAAUCGAGGGCAUCAUCGGGGAAGCAGAGGUGCCUGGGGUCGCAGCACGGCUGCUCGACGACGACCCUGAGCUUCUGCUGAUGAGCAUAGAAGAGCCCACAUCCUUUGCCGUGGCGGAACGCGACCCAAAUUGGCGGCGUGCCAUGCUGGAGGAGCUGCGGUCCAUCGAAGACAACCACACCUGGGAGCUGGUUGAUCCGCCGGCGGGAUGCCGGCCGAUUGGCCUCAAGUGGGUGUACAAGGUCAAGAAGGACGAGUACGGCACGAUCGUCAAGCACAAAGCGCGGCUGGUGGCCCGUGGCUUUGUGCAGCGCGAAGGCAUCGACUUCGAGGAGGUGUUUGCGCCGGUGGCGCGCAUGGAGUCGGUGAGAUUGCUGCUGGCACUCGCAGCAGCCAAGGAUUGGGGCGUCCAUCACCUCGACGUCAAGUCGGCCUUCCUGAACGGCGAGCUGGCGGAAGAGGUUUACGUCAAGCAGGCGCCAGGCUUUCAGGUGAAGGGGGAAGAGAGCAAGGUGCUUCGGCUGCGGAAGGCGUUGUAUGGCCUGCGGCAGGCCCCGCGGGCAUGGAAUGCCAAACUCGACGCCACCAUGGCGGAGCUUGGCUUCGCACGGUGUGCCACGGAGCAUGCCCUGUACACACGACGACGGGGGAAGGAGGAGCUCAUCGUCGGUGUGUAUGUGGACGAUCUGAUCGUCACUGGCGCGCGGGAGGAAGACAUCGCCAAAUUCAAGGCGGAGAUGGCGGCCCGAUUCAAGAUGAGCGAUCUAGGCGCGCUCUCGUACUACCUCGGCAUCGAGGUGAAGCAGGGGAAGGACGCGGUCAGGCUGGGGCAGCGCGCCUACGCGCUGAAGCUGCUGGAGCGGGCUGGAAUGGGCGACUGCAGGGCUGCAGCAACACCGAUGGAGGAGCGGAUCAAGCUCUCCAAACAAAGUGUGGCGAAGAAGGUUGAUGCCACACGAUACCGAAGCAUCGUCGGUGGGCUGCGCUGGCUCACUCACACCCGGCCGGACAUCGCGUUCGCGGUCGGGUAUGUGAGCAGAUUCAUGGAGGAUCCAAGGGAGGACCACUGGGCGGCGGUCAAGCGACUGCUGCGGUACAUCCAGGGGUCUUUGGACCUCGGUGUCGUCUUCCCCAAGCACGGCGAUCUUCGGCUGAAGGUGUUCAGCGAAGCGCCGCCCAGGGCAAAGGGCGGCGAGCCAGGGCUCACCGUGUUCAGUGAUGCAGACAUGGCGGGUGAUGUGGAUGGGCGGAAAAGCACCUCCGGGGUGUUCGUUUUCCUCGGAGCAGCGCCAGUGGCCUGGCAAUCACUGAAGCAGAAGACAGUGGCACUGUCAACCUGCGAGGCAGAGUAUGUGGCUGCUGCUACGGCGGCAUGUCAGGCGGUCUGGUUGCGGCGGCUGCUGAAGGAGCUCACUGGGAAGGAGUCUCAGCCGCCGGCUUUGCUGGUGGACAAUCAGCCGGCCAUUGCUCUUGCCAAGAACCCGGUGCUCCAUGACCGGAGCAAACACAUCGACGUCAAGUUCCAUUUCCUCAGGGAUUGCGUUGAUGGAGGACAGAUCACCAUCGAGUUUGUCGACACCGGCAGGCAACUCGCUGACAUUCUCACCAAGUCCCUCGGACGCCUCAGGUUUGUUGAGCUGAGGAAGAUGAUUGGCAUGGAUGAGGUCAAGGCUUAGCAGCAGGAUUAGGGGAAGAACUGUAAGACAUAAUCUGCAGCUAAACCUUUCUGUUUUGUUAAUGAUCAUAGGCAGGCAAUAGGUCAGCUCUUGGUCACAUAGGAGUAUGGCAAUAGGCCACUCUAGUACAGUAGUUGGUAGAACCAUACAUCAGCCAUACUUGGUAGGAGGAUGAUGUAUGCAGUGUACUAGGAGUAGUUGGGGCUGUACCCAGCCAUGCCUUGUGUACCUUAUAGUUGGUACAAGGCUUGUAUAUAUACACCAUGUAUGCAAUGAAGCAAAGGCAGUUUUAGUGCCACAUAUUUCCUGGGUUCAGGUUUCAGCCAAGACUGAAACCGUGUGUGAGUGUGUGUGCCUGAGCUCGGCUCAUCUUCUACCUUGGGUCAGGGGAGAGGAAGAGGGAAGGUGAGCAGGGUCUGCUUACCUGGUGCCUGUGUGCAGGUGCCAACAAU
This 5241-nucleotide long non-coding RNA is filed under the name Sorghum bicolor (sorghum). Its description in RNAcentral is "long non-coding RNA (SBIC_LNC016626)". The record is from RNAcentral. Lineage: Eukaryota; Viridiplantae; Streptophyta; Magnoliopsida; Poales; Poaceae.